Danio aesculapii is the source of this 908-nucleotide long non-coding RNA. RefSeq lists it as uncharacterized. The transcript has 3 exons. NCBI's taxonomy places the organism in Eukaryota, Metazoa, Chordata, Actinopteri, Cypriniformes, Danionidae. The record is from RefSeq and is a predicted model, not a curated record.
GUUCAAUCCGCUAUGGCGACCCCAGAUUAAUAAAGAGACUAAGCCAAAAGGAAAAUGAAUGAAUCAAUGAAUGAAUGUAAUGAGGAGGGAUAUAAGCAGGACUGUAAGACUGUAACAAAGGCAAAAGGCUUAUGAAGUGUAUGGCAAAUAAUAACAUUUAUUAUUAUUAUUAAUAUAGGAAUCAAAAUUAUAAAUAAAGCAGCAUUUAAUGUAUUCAUAUUCUGAAAAUUUAUGAAUGUAUGGCAAUUAUGAUUACAACUAAUGCUGGUGAAAAUAUUGGCAUGAGUUAAAGUAGAAAGGAAUAUUAAAAAUAUUUAAUAUCAUAAUAUGACAAUUUUAACAUUUUGUCCAUUUUGAAUUAUGUGUAACUUUAAAAGUGAUACACAAAGGAUAUAAAUACCAUGAUUAGAGUCUGAUAUUAUUAGCUGAUAAUGGUGAUAAUUUGAAAACUUUCACGUGGUCGAAGACAGAUUGCAGUACACACAAGAUUAUGGAAUGGCAUUACAUGUUUUUUUUUCCAUAUCUGAGCCUUCAAUGUAUAAUUUUUAACACAAGUAGUCUGUCAAUACAUUCAAGUACCACAAGAUGGCAAUAGCUGAAAUUUCACAUGUAUACCACCAACAACGUUACAUUUAUGAUUUUGGCUUCCUCUUCUUCGGAGCGCGGCCGUGGAGGUGAUGAGUCCUUGAUGAGUUUAACACGAACCCGCUUACCCUGCGCAAGCACUUCUUCAACCUCUUCUCUGGACUCUGGAAUGUUAAUAACACUUAAUAAUGCCAAAUCGCAAGUACAAACUGUACUUAGAGCCGAAGAGCACAGUUAAAUUUCCCCAUGGAAGACUAAAAAGAGGACAAUUGGAUGUGACAGAAGGUUUGGAAUCACUUACUGCCGAUGAUGAGGUGAGAGAA